GAGUUGAUGCAAUGGAUAUGAAUA
RNAcentral lists this non-coding RNA (24 nucleotides) under Arabidopsis thaliana (thale cress). Lineage: Eukaryota; Viridiplantae; Streptophyta; Magnoliopsida; Brassicales; Brassicaceae. The record is from RNAcentral.